UCUUUUUGUUAGCAAAAUCUUUGUCCUUGUUUAAAUUAAGAAUUUCUCUUGAGAAAUAAUUGAGGCUAGUUUGAAUAUACUCUAGCUAGGAAAGAUUUGGUACUUAAGCUGUCCAUUGUGACACACCUCUCUUUCCUGGGAGUGGACCCAAACAAAACCUCUCUUAUCUCUUAUUUGAAAUCUUUCUCUAAGGCAAGAACAAAAGAAAAAAAAAGGGAAAAAAGAAAUAAAAAACAAAGAAACAACUCCAAGC
Molecule: long non-coding RNA, 253 nt
Filed under: Vigna radiata
Lineage: Eukaryota; Viridiplantae; Streptophyta; Magnoliopsida; Fabales; Fabaceae
Description: long non-coding RNA (VRAD_LNC016014)
Source: RNAcentral